Molecule: ribosomal RNA, 1018 nt
Filed under: bacterium RK27_tank
Lineage: Bacteria
Description: bacterial SSU rRNA
Rfam family: Bacterial small subunit ribosomal RNA
Source: RNAcentral
CGCCCAGACUCUACGGGAGGCAGCAGUGGGGAAUAUUGCACAAUGGGCGCAAGCCUGAUGCAGCAACGCCGCGUGAGGGACGACGGCCUUUCGGGUUGUAAACCUCUUUUAGUAGGGAAGAAGCGAAAGUGACGGUACCUGCAGAAAAAGCACCGGCUAACUACGUGCCAGCAGCCGCGGUAAUACGUAGGGUGCGAGCGUUGUCCGGAAUUAUUGGGCGUAAAGAGCUCGUAGGCGGUCUGUCGCGUCUGCUGUGAAAACCCGAGGCUCAACCUCGGGCCUGCAGUGGGUACGGGCAGACUAGAGUGCGGUAGGGGAGAAUGGAAUUCCUGGUGUAGCGGUGGAAUGCGCAGAUAUCAGGAGGAACACCGAUGGCGAAGGCAGUUCUCUGGGCCGUAACUGACGCUGAGGAGCGAAAGCGUGGGGAGCGAACAGGAUUAGAUACCCUGGUAGUCCACGCCGUAAACGUUGGGCGCUAGAUGUGGGGACCAUUCCACGGUUUCCGUGUCGCAGCUAACGCAUUAAGCGCCCCGCCUGGGGAGUACGGCCGCAAGGCUAAAACUCAAAGGAAUUGACGGGGGCCCGCACAAGCGGCGGAGCAUGCGGAUUAAUUCGAUGCAACGCGAAGAACCUUACCAAGGCUUGACAUACACGAGAACGGGCCAGAAAUGGUCAACUCUUUGGACACUCGUGAACAGGUGGUGCAUGGUUGUCGUCAGCUCGUGUCGUGAGAUGUUGGGUUAAGUCCCGCAACGAGCGCAACCCUCGUUCUAUGUUGCCAGCACGUAAUGGUGGGAACUCAUAGGAGACUGCCGGGGUCAACUCGGAGGAAGGUGGGGAUGACGUCAAAUCAUCAUGCCCCUUAUGUCUUGGGCUUCACGCAUGCUACAAUGGCCGGUACAAAGGGCUGCAAUACCGCAAGGUGGAGCGAAUCCCAAAAAGCCGGUCUCAGUUCGGAUUGAGGUCUGCAACUCGACCUCAUGAAGUCGGAGUCGCUAGUAAUCGCAGAUCAGCAACG